UGUUUCUUGAUGAGGAUUAGACAUGUUUCGACUCAGCAACACAUCUACCUGCACUUCCACUUUAUUCUAUUUUCUUUUUAUUUGUGCUCUACAUCCACCGAAUACUGAUCUUAUUCAUUACAACAUCACCAAUUCAACAAAGCAGUUCAAGUAAAGGUCUCAAACCCUAAUAACUCCCCAAACACCCAACAUCUUCUCGCCACCAUCUUCAUCGGCUAUAACUCACACCACCAUCGCACCAUCCUCACUAAUGAGCCCCACUGGAGUAGUCAACACCGCCAUCUCUGCCGUAUAUUCUUACCGAGAAAUAGGACAACGUUGUUGAACAUCCAUGUUCGAAAUUUGAAAUUGACGUCAGGGUUCGAUAUUCGUAAACUUCAUCCUAUAGAAUUAGAAAUAUAAAAAUGUCUUCAGGGGAUAGAAAUUUUAGCGGGUUUAAUGAUACAGCUCACAUGUUGACAUGCUAAAAGGUAACAAUGAUUUCUAUCCUCCAUUUGUUUUAAUGUUAAUCUUUAUAUUACUCGAUCUGUAUUUAUAUGAAUGCAAACAUGCAAGCAUACCAUACCGUGUUUGAGGGGGGCGUUGUACGUUUGCAGAUAGAUACAAUUGUUGAGUCAAUACUAACUGGUGAAGCAUAGUUGAAUAGUAGCAUUGGUUGAAGAGAACUAUAUUUCUCCAAUACUUGAAAUAUUUCUUAAAUUCAUAGAGAAGAUUUUUGUUCCGAUUUUUAUAUCUUGGCAUUUUGUUUGAGCUAUUGGAAAUAGUAGACGACAGCUGAAUUUGUAUAUUAAUCCUUUAAUACAUUUUCUUGUCCUUAUAUUGACAAAAUUUUCGGGGAGAGCAAUUUUCUGGUGAUUUUGGAUUCUUAACAUCAAGGAUAAAUGAACUGGAGAAGCAGAAAGGGCUCUUUUGAUUGAAAAAUCAGGAAAUGGCCGAUGACUAUUCAGUUGUUGGGAAGCAAUGCAUCUAUUGUAACCAAAAUGGAAGUGAAGCUCCUCAUCUAUAGCGACACUUAGGAAGAGAUUAUUGAACCAGAGGAAGAGAAACUUUACUAUGAAAUUGUAGAAGUUUGUCCGAAUGAUAAUAUCCUUUUGAUUUUUUAUUUAUUCAUUUAUUUUGCUUUGUAAAAAACCAUUUGAAGCACACACUUCAUGAUCUUAAUUUCAAUAAUCAUAAUACAAAUGACGAUGGUAUUUCUUUUGUUAAA
This is a long non-coding RNA of Lactuca sativa (garden lettuce), 1207 nucleotides long. RefSeq lists it as uncharacterized. NCBI's taxonomy places the organism in Eukaryota, Viridiplantae, Streptophyta, Magnoliopsida, Asterales, Asteraceae. The record is from RefSeq and is a predicted model, not a curated record.